Molecule: ribosomal RNA, 253 nt
Filed under: uncultured bacterium
Lineage: Bacteria
Description: partial 16S ribosomal RNA
Rfam family: Bacterial small subunit ribosomal RNA
Source: RNAcentral
UACAGAGGUCCCAAGCGUUGUUCGGAUUCACUGGGCGUAAAGGGUGCGUAGGUGGUGAGGCAAGUCGGAUGUGAAAUCUCGGAGCUUAACUCCGAAACUGCAUUGGAAACUGCCUUGCUUGAGGUUUGGAGGGGGGACUGGAAUGCUUGGUGUAGCAGUGAAAUGCGUAGAUAUCAAGCGGAACACCAGUGGCGAAGGCGAGUCCCUGGACAACACCUGACACUGAGGCACGAAAGCUAGGGGAGCAAACAGG